Molecule: ribosomal RNA, 741 nt
Filed under: uncultured bacterium
Lineage: Bacteria
Description: bacterial SSU rRNA
Rfam family: Bacterial small subunit ribosomal RNA
Source: RNAcentral
CUUAACAUGCAGUCGACGGAAAGGCCCUGCUUUUGUGGGGUGCUCGAGUGGCGAACGGGUGAGUAACACGUGAGUAACCUGCCCUUGACUUUGGGAUAACUUCAGGAAACUGGGGCUAAUACCGGAUAGGAGCUCCUGCUGCAUGGUGGGGGUUGGAAAGUUUCGGCGGUUGGGGAUGGACUCGCGGCUUAUCAGCUUGUUGGUGGGGUAGUGGCUUACCAAGGCUUUGACGGGUAGCCGGCCUGAGAGGGUGACCGGCCACAUUGGGACUGAGAUACGGCCCAAACUCCUACGGGAGGCAGCAGUGGGGAAUAUUGCACAAUGGGCGGAAGCCUGAUGCAGCAACGCCGCGUGCGGGAUGGCGGCCUUCGGGUUGUAAACCGCUUUCGCCUGUGACGAAACGUGAGUGACGGUAAUGGGUAAAGAAGCACCGGCUAACUACGUGCCAGCAGCCGCGGUGAUACGUAGGGUGCGAGCGUUGUCCGGAUUUAUUGGGCGUAAAGGGCUCGUAGGUGGUUGAUCGCGUCGGAAGUGUAAUCUUGGGGCUUAACCCUGAGCGUGCUUUCGAUACGGGUUGACUUGAGGAAGGUAGGGGAGAAUGGAAUUCCUGGUGGAGCGGUGGAAUGCGCAGAUAUCAUGAGGAACACUAGUGGCGAAGGCGGUUCUCUGGGCCUUUCCUGACGCUGAGGAGCGAAAGCGUGGGGAGCGAACAGGCUUAGAUACCCUGGUAGUCCACGCUGU